RNAcentral lists this ribosomal RNA (329 nucleotides) under uncultured eukaryote. Its description in RNAcentral is "partial 18S ribosomal RNA". It matches the Rfam family "Eukaryotic small subunit ribosomal RNA", at positions 1470 to 1796 of the family's 1831-position model. The record is from RNAcentral.
CCCUUAGAUGUUCUGGGCCGCACGCGCGCUACAAUGAUGAAUUCAACGAGUUUAUAACCUUGGUUGAAAAGCCUGGGUAAUCUUUUGAACUUUCGUCGUGAUGGGGCUAGACCCUUGCAAUUAUUGGUCUCCAACGAGGAAUUCCUAGUAAACGCAAGUCAUCAGCUUGCAUUGAUUACGUCCCUGCCCUUUGUACACACCGCCCGUCGUACCUACCGAUUGAAUGGUCCGGUGAAAUCUUCGGAUUGAGACUUUGAUUUCUUCACGGAAAACGCUGUUUUAAAAAGUUGAUUAAACCUUACCAUUUAGAGGAAGGUGAAGUCGUAACA